UAACAGGAUUCCCCUAGUAACUGCGAGUGAAGCGGGAAAAGCUCAAAUUUAAAAUCUGGCGGUCUUCUGGCCGUCCGAGUUGUAGUCUGGAGAAGCGUUUUCCGCGUUGGACCGUGUACAAGUUUCCUGGAACGGAGCGUCAUAGAGGGUGAGAAUCCCGUCUUUGACACGGAUCCCAAUGCUUUGUGAUGCGCUCUCAAAGAGUCGAGUUGUUUGGGAAUGCAGCUCAAAAUGGGUGGUGAAUUCCAUCUAAAGCUAAAUAUUGGCGAGAGACCGAUAGCGAACAAGUACCGUGAGGGAAAGAUGAAAAGCACUUUGGAAAGAGAGUUAAACAGUACGUGAAAUUGUUGAAAGGGAAACGCUUGAAGUCAGUCGCGUCGGCCGGGACUCAGCCUUGCAUCCGCUUGGUGUACUUUCCGGUCGACGGGCCAGCAUCAGUUUUGACCGCGAGAUAAAGGCGGAGGGAAUGUGGCUCUCUCGGGAGUGUUAUAGCCCUUCGUCAGAUGUCGCGGUUGGGACUGAGGAACUCAGCACGCCUUUAUGGCCGGGGCUCGCCCACGUACGUGCUUAGGAUGCUGGCGUAAUGGCUUUAAACGACCCGUCUUGAAACACGGACCAAGGAGUCUAACAUGCCUGCGAGUGUUCGGGUGGAAAACCCGUGCGCGCAAUGAAAGUGAAAGUUGGGAUCCCUGUCGUGGGGUGCACCGACGCCCGGCCCAGACCUUUUGUGACGGAGCUGCGGUAGAGCAUGUAUGUUGGGACCCGAAAGAUGGUGAACUAUGCCUGAAUAGGGUGAAGCCAGAGGAAACUCUGGUGGAGGCUCGUAGCGAUUCUGACGUGCAAAUCGAUCGUCAAAUUUGGG
RNAcentral lists this ribosomal RNA (862 nucleotides) under Stereum hirsutum. RNAcentral describes it as "partial large subunit ribosomal RNA". It matches the Rfam family "Eukaryotic large subunit ribosomal RNA", at positions 66 to 915 of the family's 3401-position model. The record is from RNAcentral. Lineage: Eukaryota; Fungi; Basidiomycota; Agaricomycetes; Russulales; Stereaceae.